CGGAAUGUGGCACAGCUUGGCCUAGUGCGCCCCCUUCGGGAGGGGGAGAUCGCAGGUUCAAAUCCUGCCAUUCCGAC
This 77-nucleotide transfer RNA is filed under the name Streptomyces phage Satis. RNAcentral's name for it is "tRNA-Pro". It matches the Rfam family "tRNA". Rfam says of the family: Transfer RNA (tRNA) molecules are approximately 80 nucleotides in length. Lineage: Duplodnaviria; Heunggongvirae; Uroviricota; Caudoviricetes. The record is from RNAcentral. RNAcentral also lists the same sequence under 4 other names.